This 72-nucleotide transfer RNA is filed under the name Camelus bactrianus (Bactrian camel). It matches the Rfam family "tRNA". From Rfam's summary of the family: Transfer RNA (tRNA) molecules are approximately 80 nucleotides in length. Lineage: Eukaryota; Metazoa; Chordata; Mammalia; Artiodactyla; Camelidae. The record is from Rfam by way of RNAcentral. RNAcentral also lists the same sequence under 2 other names.
GUGGGUAUAGCUCAGUGGUAGAAUGCAUGCUUAGCAUGCUUGAAGUCCUAGGUUCAAUUCCUGUUACUUCCA